UAACUCUUGUGCCUCGUUUUU
RNAcentral lists this non-coding RNA (21 nucleotides) under Caenorhabditis elegans. The record is from RNAcentral. Lineage: Eukaryota; Metazoa; Nematoda; Chromadorea; Rhabditida; Rhabditidae.